UACGUAGGGUGCGAGCGUUGUCCGGAAUUAUUGGGCGUAAAGAGCUCGUAGGCGGUUUGUCGCGUCUGCCGUGAAAGUCCGGGGCUCAACUCCGGAUCUGCGGUGGGUACGGGCAGACUAGAGUGAUGUAGGGGAGACUGGAAUUCCUGGUGUAGCGGUGAAAUGCGCAGAUAUCAGGAGGAACACCAAUGGCGAAGGCAGCACUCUGGGACGUGACUGACGCUGAGACGCGAAAGCGUGGGGAGCAAACAGG
RNAcentral lists this ribosomal RNA (253 nucleotides) under uncultured bacterium. RNAcentral's name for it is "partial 16S ribosomal RNA". It matches the Rfam family "Bacterial small subunit ribosomal RNA", at positions 524 to 776 of the family's 1533-position model. The record is from RNAcentral.